AUGAACGCUGGCGGCGUGCCUAAUACAUGCCAGUCGAGCGAACAGACGAGGAGCUUGCUCCUCUGACGUUAGCGGCGGACGGGUGAGUAACACGUGGAUAACCUACCUAUAAGACUGGGAUAACUUCGGGAAACCGGAGCUAAUACCGGAUAAUAUAUUGAACCGCAUGGUUCAAUAGUGAAAGACGGUUUUGCUGUCACUUAUAGAUGGAUCCGCGCCGCAUUAGCUAGUUGGUAAGGUAACGGCUUACCAAGGCGACGAUGCGUAGCCGACCUGAGAGGGUGAUCGGCCACACUGGAACUGAGACACGGUCCAGACUCCUACGGGAGGCAGCAGUAGGGAAUCUUCCGCAAUGGGCGAAAGCCUGACGGAGCAACGCCGCGUGAGUGAUGAAGGUCUUCGGAUCGUAAAACUCUGUUAUUAGGGAAGAACAAAUGUGUAAGUAACUAUGCACGUCUUGACGGUACCUAAUCAGAAAGCCACGGCUAACUACGU
Molecule: ribosomal RNA, 495 nt
Filed under: uncultured bacterium
Lineage: Bacteria
Description: partial 16S ribosomal RNA
Rfam family: Bacterial small subunit ribosomal RNA
Source: RNAcentral